This 355-nucleotide unclassified non-coding RNA is filed under the name Hevea brasiliensis (rubber tree). The record is from RNAcentral. Lineage: Eukaryota; Viridiplantae; Streptophyta; Magnoliopsida; Malpighiales; Euphorbiaceae.
GGCAGUCGCGGCUGAGAUUGAGAUUGGGAUUUCUAAUGAGAAACCAAGAAAUCAUGUGGACUUGCGGCAUCGUUUGGACUCUAAAGGUCAACGUGAAGGAAAAGUCAUCGAUUAUAGAGUUAGCGAUCUGAGAGUUGUUGAGCUUCUGGAUGGUCUCUGUGAGAAAAUGCAGGAUUACACUUUGGAAAAGUUUGAUUCAGGAAAACAAGGAUGGGUCAAAGUUACAGACUGGGACAACCUUAAAAGUGAUAAGCGAGAAGCACGUGCACACUCAAAAUACAUUUCCUCCUUUUGCGGAAGGCUACUGGAAGAAACAGAAGAUGAGCUCGCUGAUUGGAUAAAACGCGGAUCCGGC